CCUACGGGAGGCAGCAGUGAGGAAUAUUGGUCAAUGGACGAGAGUCUGAACCAGCCAAGUAGCGUGAAGGAUGACUGCCCUAUGGGUUGUAAACUUCUUUUAUAUGGGAAUAAAAUGUUCCACGUGUGGGAUUUUGUAUGUACCAUAUGAAUAAGGAUCGGCUAACUCCGUGCCAGCAGCCGCGGUAAUACGGAGGAUCCGAGCGUUAUCCGGAUUUAUUGGGUUUAAAGGGCGCGUAGGUGGAUUGUUAAGUCAGUUGUGAAAGUUUGCGGCUCAACCGUAAAAUUGCAGUUGAAACUGGCAGUCUUGAGUACAGUAGAGGUGGUCGGAAUUCGUGGUGUAGCGGUGAAAUGCUUAGAUAUCACGAAGAACUCCGAUUGCGAAGGCAGUUCACUGGACUGCAACUGACACUGAGGCUCGAAAGUGUGGGUAUCAAACAGGAUUAGAUACCCUUGUAGUC
Molecule: ribosomal RNA, 460 nt
Filed under: uncultured bacterium
Lineage: Bacteria
Description: partial 16S ribosomal RNA
Rfam family: Bacterial small subunit ribosomal RNA
Source: RNAcentral